GUGACCUCAAAUCAGGUAGGACUACCCGCUGAACUUAAGCAUAUCAAUAAGCGGAGGAAAAGAAACUAACAAGGAUUCCCCUAGUAACUGCGAGUGAAGCGGGAAAAGCUCAAAUUUAAAAUCUGUCAGUCUUUGGCUGUCCGAGUUGUAAUCUAGAGAAGUGUUAUCCGCGCUGGACCGUGUACAAGUCUCCUGGAAUGGAGCGUCAUAGAGGGUGAGAAUCCCGUCUUUGACACGGACUGCCAGGGCUUUGUGAUGCGCUCUCAAAGAGUCGAGUUGUUUGGGAAUGCAGCUCAAAAUGGGUGGUAAAUUCCAUCUAAAGCUAAAUAUUGGCGAGAGACCGAUAGCGAACAAGUACCGUGAGGGAAAGAUGAAAAGAACUUUGGAAAGAGAGUUAAACAGUACGUGAAAUUGCUGAAAGGGAAACGCUUGAAGUCAGUCGCGUUGUCCAGGGAUCAACCUUGCUUUUGCUUGGUGUACUCUCUGGUUGACGGGUCAGCAUCAAUUUUGACCAUUGGAAAAAGAUUAAGGGAAUGUGGCAUCCUUGGAUGUGUUAUAGCCCUUGGUUGCAUACAAUGGUUGGGAUUGAGGAACUCAGCACGCCGAAAGGCCGGGUUUUUAACCACGUACGUGCUUAGGAUGCUGGCAUAAUGGCUUUAAUCGACCCGUCUUGAAACACGGACCAAGGAGUCUAACAUGCCUGCGAGUGUUUGGGUGGAAAACCCGAGCGCGUAAUGAAAGUGAAAGUUGAGAUCCUUGUCAUGGGGAGCAUCGACGCCCGGACCAGACCUUUUGUGACGGUUCCGCGGUAGAGCAUGUAUGUUGGGACCCGAAAGAUGGUGAACUAUGCCUGAAUAGGGUGAAGCCAGAGGAAACUCUGGUGGAGGCUCGUAGCGAUUCUGACGUGCAAAUCGAUCGUCAAAUUUGGGUAUAGGGGCGAAAGACUAAUCGAACCAUCUAGUAGCUGGUUCCUGCCGA
This 978-nucleotide ribosomal RNA is filed under the name Cortinarius vitreofulvus. Its description in RNAcentral is "partial 28S ribosomal RNA". It matches the Rfam family "Eukaryotic large subunit ribosomal RNA", at positions 1 to 964 of the family's 3401-position model. Lineage: Eukaryota; Fungi; Basidiomycota; Agaricomycetes; Agaricales; Cortinariaceae. The record is from RNAcentral.